UGAUAAGGUGGUUCACCAGUCUCAGA
Molecule: non-coding RNA, 26 nt
Filed under: Rattus norvegicus (Norway rat)
Lineage: Eukaryota; Metazoa; Chordata; Mammalia; Rodentia; Muridae
Source: RNAcentral